UACGAAGGAUCCAAGCGUUGUCCGGAUUUACUGGGUUUAAAGGGAGCGUAGGCGGAUAUAUAAGUCAGUGGUGAAAGCCUUCAGCUUAACUGAAGAAUUGCCAUUGAAACUGUAUGUCUCGAGUAUGGUUGAGGUCACUGGAAUGUAACAUGUAGCGGUGAAAUGCUUAGAUAUGUUACAGAACACCAAUUGCGAAGGCAGGUGACUAAGCCAUAACUGACGCUGAGGCUCGAAAGCGUGGGGAGCAAACAGG
Molecule: ribosomal RNA, 253 nt
Filed under: uncultured bacterium
Lineage: Bacteria
Description: partial 16S ribosomal RNA
Rfam family: Bacterial small subunit ribosomal RNA
Source: RNAcentral